AACGCAUAAACAAAUUGGUAGAGCGAGAAAACAAAAGAAAAGAGGUGUGCACAUGGAAACGGGAAAACAAAAACAGAGGGAGAGCAGAAACAGAAGCAGGCAUGGGGGAAACGAACACCGCAUCAGGCGAAGCGAAGACGGUGCUGUCCACGACCGCGUCGAUCCAAAACCUUUCCCCCCUGUCGCUCUCGCGAUGCCUCUUCUCCUCCUGUUUUCGAUCCGAUGUGACGCUUACCCUCUCCCAAUCUCCUGAAUUAUUGCGUGGGAAUCAAACCCCGGGUCGAUGGAUGCCCUUUUAAGCCCCUUCUGAUCAACCCUAACCCUCGCAGCUUGAUCUUCUUCCAUGGCCGAUGCCUCCGCCAUGUUCCGCCCGCUGGAGCUCCUACCGCCGGCGGCCACGGCCGCCGGCGACCUCAGCAUCGAGCAGCAGCACGACGGCCUCCACUUCUGGCAGUUCAUGGUGGCCGGAUCCGUCGCGGGCGUCGUCGCGGCCUCCACUUCUGGCAGUUCCCCGUCGACACCCUCAAGACCCGGAUGCAGGCCGGCUCCCCGCCCUGCCACCCGCCGCUCGGUCUCCGCCACGCCGUCCGCUCUGUCCUCCGCGCCGAGGGCCUCCUCGGCCUCUACCGCGGCCUCGGCGCCGGACCCGCCCACGCCGUGUACUUCUCCGUCUACGAGAUCUCCAAGGACUCGCUCUCCGGGGAGAACUCCAACAAUCCGAUCGCCCACGCCGCCUCCGGGGUGCUCGCCACCGUCGCCAGCGACGCCGUGUUCACGCCUAUGGACACCGUGAAGCAGCGUCUCCAGCUCAGAAGUAGCCCGUACAAGGGUGUCGCGGACUGCGUCGCCAGGGUUCUGAGGGAGGAGGGGAGCAGGGCGUUCUUCGCCUCUUACAAGACGACCGUCGUGAUGAACGCCCCUUAUUCCGCCGUGCACUUCACAACGUACGAGACAGCCAAGAGGGGGCUGAUGGAAAUCUCACCGGAGAGUGCCAGUGAGGAGCGGCUGGUGGUGCACGCCACCGCUGGUGCUGCGGCGGGUGGCUUAGCAGCAGCUAUAACAACACCGCUCGAUGUGGUGAAGACCCAAUUACAGUGUCAGGGUGUUUGUGGUUGUGAUAGAUAUUCAAGCAGCUCUAUAAACGAGGUUAUACGGGCAAUAUUAAGGUGCGACGGUUAUGCUGUGCUGAUGAGGGGAUGGAAACCUAGAAUGCUGUUUCAUGCACCAGCCGCGGCUAUUUGCUGGUUGACAUACGAAGCAAUGAAGUCCUUUUUUGAAAAGCUGAAUGACCACGAGUGAGCAUCCCAAGAUUCCAAAAGGAAUGCUUCUCUUUCGGAGUUCUACAUCAUCUCAUACAGAAAUAUGCCCUUCACUGAUUAAAACCAGCAUCAAUAAUGUAUGCUGCCAUGGCUGUCGCUGUCGAAUUGUGUUACUCCCACAUCUAUUCCAAAGUUGUAUCUGUACAAGUUUUCUUGUUGAAAGAAAUGAUGAUCAUGCUUGGAUGUGGGAAUUAAUGUGGGAUCAUGAUUCCAUCAUCACAUCAUCAUGCAAUGUGUUGGAAACUCAUGCUCAAACGAAGAUUGAUUUUGUUCUCUGUAUGUGCAGAGUUGAAAAGACAAAUCAUGAAAAGAUUACUCGUUCAAUGGAAGGAUGAUGUUAAUUGGCUUCCUCAAGUGUGGAAGUGAUUUUUUGUAUGUUAAUGAUUACUUGUCAUGCC
Molecule: non-coding RNA, 1717 nt
Organism: Musa acuminata subsp. malaccensis (wild Malaysian banana)
Lineage: Eukaryota; Viridiplantae; Streptophyta; Magnoliopsida; Zingiberales; Musaceae
Source: RefSeq, a predicted model, not a curated record